AAAGAUUUUCUUUCACAACGUCUUCUGUCUGGUUUCAUUUAAUGUGAGAGGGAUCAAUUUUACUUUCAGACAAAUUUAACAAUAAAGAUGUAAAAAUGUGAUUAAUUCUGAAACAUUGUGACACUGUUUGAUAACUAUAAUGUUAAAUAGUAAAUUCUUUUCAAAAGAGGAAGUGUUGUUGUUGAGUUUGUUGUCUUCAAAGUCAGAGAGCCGUGUCUCUGUACAGUCAGAGGUUUUUGUACGACGACUCAAUCAGUUUGUAUCACUGUGGUACACGUUCGGUGGAGGAACCAGACUGGAUGUUGGAAGUGAUGUCCGUCCCACCCUGACGGUGCUGCCCCCCUCCAGAGAGGAGCUGCAGCAGGGCAAGGCCACGCUCAUGUGCCUGGCCAACAAGGGCUUCCCCUCAGACUGGAGUCUGGCCUGGAAGGUGGACGGCAGCAGCAGCAGCAGCAGCAGCAGCUGGGAGGAGAGCAGGAGCCCCGGGGUGCUGGAGAAGGACGGCCACUACAGCUGGAGCAGCACCCUGAGGCUCCCUGCAGACCAGUGGGGGAAGGUGGGCUCUGUGACCUGUGAGGCCACCCAGGGCUCCCAGACUCCGCUCUCAGAGACACUGAGGAGAGACCAGUGUUCCCAGUCCUGACCUGACUCACUGGGACUCUGCUACUGGUUUGACUCUGCUACUGCUCUCACUCUGCACUCUGGAACUAUCUCUGUCUUUCAUUUCACAUCUUUCAAUAGCAAUAUUUACCAGCUUGUUGCAAUGUUUCAAUAUUAUUUCACUGUUUCCACAUAAUAAAGACGUGUUCAUCA
Epinephelus fuscoguttatus (brown-marbled grouper) is the source of this 813-nucleotide non-coding RNA. The record is from the annotation of a RefSeq genome assembly. NCBI's taxonomy places the organism in Eukaryota, Metazoa, Chordata, Actinopteri, Perciformes, Serranidae.